CCUACGGGCGUCAGCAGUGGGGAAUAUUGCACAAUGGAGGAGACUCUGAUGCAGCGACGCCGCGUGAGGGAAGACGGUCUUCGGAUUGUAAACCUCUGUCUUUGGGGAAGAAAAUGACGGUACCCAAAGCGGAAGCUCCGGCUAACUACGUGCCAGCAGCCGCGGUAAUACGUAGGGAGCGGGCGUUGUCCGGAAUUACUGGGUGUAAUGGGGGCGUAGGCGGGCGAAACAGUUGAAUGUUAAAUCUACCGGCUAAACUGGUAGCUGCGUUCCAAAAUUCUUGUCUUGAGUGAAGUAGAGGCAGGCGGAAUUCCUAGUGUAGCGGUGAAAUGCGUAGAUAUUAGGAGGAACACCAGUGGCGAAGGCGGCCUGCUGGGCUUUAACUGACGCUGAGGCUCGAAAGCGUGGGGAGCAAACAGGAUUAGAUACCCGUGUAGUC
RNAcentral lists this ribosomal RNA (439 nucleotides) under uncultured bacterium. Its description in RNAcentral is "partial 16S ribosomal RNA". It matches the Rfam family "Bacterial small subunit ribosomal RNA", at positions 338 to 795 of the family's 1533-position model. The record is from RNAcentral.